GCCCUCCAGAUGGGCUAUGGCCGGGAAGAGGUCAGGGAGCAAGGGGGCCACGGGGAUCCGGGGCGUGGGACUCGGGCCCCGGCCUGAGUCUUAGGUAUCCGUAGCGCCCUCCUUCUUCCUCCUCUUCGCUGAAUACAGCUCACGGUAAGUACUGGUUCACACAGUUCGUUCUCGAGGUGCUCACUCUCUUUCUCUUCCUCCACAGGCAACGGCUGGGACACAAAAGCACAGUUAGUUCAGCUUGGUUUUGCUCUCACCUCUUCGCUGAUUACAGCUCACAGUAAGUACUGGUUCACACAGUUCGUUCCUUGGGUGCUCACUCUCUUUCUCUUCCUCCACAGGCAACGGCUGGGACACAAAAGCACAGUUAAUUCGGCUUGGUUUUGCUCUCACCUCUUCGCUGAUUGCAGCUCACAGUAUCAACUUGGACACAAAGCACAGUUACUCUGCUUUGGAUGGCUUUCACCUCUGGGCUGGACACAGCGUACCGUGCUAUCUCCGGAGAUCUGAAGCACGCUCACAACAUAUACUGUACUGAACUAGGCUAGGACCAGCAGUCUCCUUGUCCUCCCGCGACGAAGUGCGUGAAGGCGGGGGUUUAUCUGACAGGACACACGGCAAUACACAGCAGCCCACAGCAAUAUACAACACCAC
Long non-coding RNA from Cyprinus carpio carpio, 654 nucleotides. Lineage: Eukaryota; Metazoa; Chordata; Actinopteri; Cypriniformes; Cyprinidae. The record is from Ensembl.